Molecule: ribosomal RNA, 301 nt
Filed under: uncultured bacterium
Lineage: Bacteria
Description: partial 16S ribosomal RNA
Rfam family: Bacterial small subunit ribosomal RNA
Source: RNAcentral
CAGUAGCCACGGGAAUACGAAGGGGGCUAGCGUUGCUCGGAAUGACUGGGCGUAAAGGGCGCGUAGGCGGCGAUCAAAGUCAGGCGUGAAAUUCCUGGGCUCAACCUGGGGGCUGCGCUUGAUACUUGGUUGCUUGAGUGGGGAAGAGGGUCGUGGAAUUCCCAGUGUAGAGGUGAAAUUCGUAGAUAUUGGGAAGAACACCGGUGGCGAAGGCGGCGACCUGGUCCUUGACUGACGCUGAGGCGCGAAAGCGUGGGGAGCAAACAGGAUUAGAUACCCCUGUAGUCCCUGUCUCUUAUAC